UUUAACUGAAGAGUUUGAUCAUGGCUCAGAUUGAACGCUGGCGGCAGGCCUAAGACAUGCAAGUCGAACGGUAACGACACUAGCUUGCUAGUGGGCGACGAGUGGCGGACGGGUGAGUAACGCGUAGGAAUCUACCUAGUAGUGGGGGAUAGCCAAGGGAAACUUUGGGUAAUACCGCAUACGAUCUACGGAUGAAAGGGGGCCUCUCUUUGAUGCUCUCGCUAUUAGAUGAGCCUGCGUAAGAUUAGCUUGUUGGUGGGGUAAUGGCUCACCAAGGCUACGAUCUUUAGCUGGUCUGAGAGGACGAUCAGCCACAUUGGGACUGAGACACGGCCCAGACUCCUACGGGA
RNAcentral lists this ribosomal RNA (350 nucleotides) under Gammaproteobacteria bacterium. RNAcentral's name for it is "bacterial SSU rRNA". It matches the Rfam family "Bacterial small subunit ribosomal RNA", at positions 1 to 346 of the family's 1533-position model. Lineage: Bacteria; Pseudomonadati; Pseudomonadota; Gammaproteobacteria. The record is from RNAcentral.